This 253-nucleotide ribosomal RNA is filed under the name uncultured bacterium. RNAcentral describes it as "partial 16S ribosomal RNA". It matches the Rfam family "Bacterial small subunit ribosomal RNA", at positions 524 to 776 of the family's 1533-position model. The record is from RNAcentral.
UACAGAGGUCUCAAGCGUUGUUCGGAUUCAUUGGGCGUAAAGGGUGCGUAGGCGGCGCGGUAAGUCGGGUGUGAAAUCUCGGAGCUUAACUCCGAAACUGCAUUCGAUACUGCCGUGCUUGAGGACUGGAGAGGAGACUGGAAUUUACGGUGUAGCGGUGAAAUGCGUAGAUAUCGUAAGGAACACCGGUGGCGAAGGCGGCUACCUGGACAGAAACUGACGCUGAGGCACGAAAGCUAGGGGAGCAAACAGG